AUUGAACAGUGAAGGCCUUGAGGUUAGCCUCUUUGUCUUCUUCUUGUUCUUUUGUGAGCGUUAGUGGGUUUACCUCAUUUUUUGAGAUGAUUAAACGUUGUUUGAUGUCAAUUUUUGGAAAUUAUACUCAAAAUUAGACUUUAUGGAACUUAGAUUUCUUAUAUAUUGAACUAAUGAAUGAAUCCCUUUUCUAGGAUUUGCAUCCAAUUUUCAUUUCUGGAGCAAACCAAAUGAGCUCUAAGGAUACUGUCAGAAGCCUGGAAUCAUGGUUUUUGUUAUGUUCAUUUUGAGCUAACACAAACUAUGGAUUUUGGUGCAUUUUUUGGCAAAAAUUUUCUAAACAUCGAUCAACAAAAUUUUCUUUUAUUACUCUGGCAAUUGUUUUCUUAAACAUUAUAUUAUUUUAUGUUUGCUUAUCCUUAAACUUGAUCAACUUUUGGACAGUUUAUGGAAUUUGAAUUGACGAGUUCUUCAAGUAGUCCCUCUUCCUUUCUCUAAUUAGUUUUAGAAAGACAAUCAAAGAACAAAUCAAGUAAAGUCUAAAAAGAAAGGAAAUAAUCAAUAUUGAACGUGUAGUGGUUGAAAUUUGAAACCUUUUAGUUAAUUGACGAUAGAUUUGCCUCCUGAAGACUUGCUUGAACUUUGAAGGACUGUUGGGAGCAUAACUUACAAGGUCACGUAUGACCUGACUAUCUUAUUAACUUAUUUCAGGCAUAAUACUUGGGAAAAAAAAAAAAAAAAAAAGGUUAUUGGCGAUAAUAAUUAUUGCUACAAAAAAUUUUCAAUGAUAACAACUAUUGCUGCCAUAUCUUUUUUAUGUACUAUUAGUAGUAAUUGUUUAUGUUGUUAUUGUAUGUUAACUUUAUAAACAGCAAAAUUAAUGUUACUUGUGAAAUUUUAUUGCUAAUUCUAACAUUUGUUGUAGUGAUUGUUGUGAACCUAGCAGUUGAGAGGGUGGUAUAGCAAA
Molecule: unclassified non-coding RNA, 967 nt
Filed under: Hevea brasiliensis (rubber tree)
Lineage: Eukaryota; Viridiplantae; Streptophyta; Magnoliopsida; Malpighiales; Euphorbiaceae
Source: RNAcentral